Molecule: ribosomal RNA, 790 nt
Filed under: uncultured bacterium
Lineage: Bacteria
Description: bacterial SSU rRNA
Rfam family: Bacterial small subunit ribosomal RNA
Source: RNAcentral
GAGUAACACGUAGGUAACCUGCCCAUGUGCCCGGGAUAACUUCUGGAAACGGAUGCUAAAACCGGAUAGGUAGCAGACAAGCAUUUGACUGCUAUUAAAGUGGCUUUGGCCAUGAACAUGGAUGGACCUGCGGUGCAUUAGCUGGUUGGUGAGGUAACGGCCCACCAAGGCGACGAUGCAUAGCCGGCCUGAGAGGGCGGACGGCCACAUUGGGACUGAGACACGGCCCAAACUCCUACGGGAGGCAGCAGUAGGGAAUUUUCGUCAAUGGGGGGAACCCUGAACGAGCAAUGCCGCGUGAGUGAGGAAGGUCUUCGGAUCGUAAAGCUCUGUUGUAAGAGAAAAACGGCACUCAUAGGGAAUGAUGAGUGAGUGAUGGUAUCUUACCAGAAAGUCACGGCUAACUACGUGCCAGCAGCCGCGGUAAUACGUAGGUGGCGAGCGUUAUCCGGAAUGAUUGGGCGUAAAGGGUGCGUAGGUGGCAGAUCAAGUCUGGAGUAAAAGGUAUGGGCUCAACCCGUACUGGCUCUGGAAACUGAUCAGCUAGAGAACAGAAGAGGACGGCGGAACUCCAUGUGUAGCGGUAAAAUGCGUAGAUAUAUGGAAGAACACCGGUGGCGAAGGCGGCCGUCUGGUCUGGAUUCUGACACUGAAGCACGAAAGCGUGGGGAGCAAAUAGGAUUAGAUACCCUAGUAGUCCACGCCGUAAACGAUGAGAACUAGGUGUUGGGGGAAUAACUCAGUGCCGCAGUUAACGCAGUAAGUUCUCCGCCUGGGGAGUAUGCACGCA